This 497-nucleotide ribosomal RNA is filed under the name uncultured bacterium. RNAcentral's name for it is "partial 16S ribosomal RNA". It matches the Rfam family "Bacterial small subunit ribosomal RNA", at positions 28 to 507 of the family's 1533-position model. The record is from RNAcentral.
GAUGAACGCUGGCGGCGUGCCUAAUACAUGCAAGUCGAGCGAACAGACGAGGAGCUUGCUCCUCUGACGUUAGCGGCGGACGGGUGAGUAACACGUGGAUAACCUACCUAUAAGACUGGGAUAACUUCGGGAAACAGGAGCUAAUACCGGAUAAUAUAUUGAACCGCAUGCUUCAAUAGUGAAAGACGGCUUUGCUGUCACUUAUAGAUGGAUCCGCGCCGCAUUAGCUAGUUGGUAAGGUAACGGCUUACCAAGGCAACGAUGCGUAGCCGACCUGAGAGGGUGAUCGGCCACACUGGAACUGAGACACGGUCCAGACUCCUACGGGAGGCAGCAGUAGGGAAUCUUCCGCAAUGGGCGAAAGCCUGACGGAGCAACGCCGCGUGAGUGAUGAAGGUCUUCGGAUCGUAAAGCUCUGUUAUUAGGGAAGAACAAAUGUGUAAGUAACUAUGCACGUCUUGACGGUACCUAAUCAGAAAGCCACGGCUAACUACGUG